RNAcentral lists this ribosomal RNA (455 nucleotides) under uncultured bacterium. RNAcentral's name for it is "partial 16S ribosomal RNA". It matches the Rfam family "Bacterial small subunit ribosomal RNA", at positions 355 to 818 of the family's 1533-position model. The record is from RNAcentral.
UGGGGAAUAUUGCACAAUGGGCGCAAGCCUGAUGCAGCGACGCCGCGUGGGGGAUGACGGCCUUCGGGUUGUAAAACCUCUUUCAGCAGGGACGAAGCGAAAGUGACGGUACCUGCAGAAGAAGCACCGGCCAACUACGUGCCAGCAGCCGCGGUAAUACGUAGGGUGCGAGCGUUGUCCGGAAUUACUGGGCGUAAAGAGCUCGUAGGUGGUUUGUCGCGUUGUUCGUGAAAAACCGGGGGGCUUAACCCCUCGGCGUGCGGGCGAUACGGGCAGACUAGAGUACUGCAGGGGAGACUGGAAUUCCUGGUGUAGCGGUGGAAUGCGCAGAUAUCAGGAGGAACACCGGUGGCGAAGGCGGGUCUCUGGGCAGUAACUGACGCUGAGGAGCGAAAGCGUGGGGAGCGAACAGGAUUAGAUACCCUGGUAGUCCACGCCGUAAACGGUGGGUACUA